Molecule: long non-coding RNA, 25929 nt
Filed under: Populus trichocarpa (black cottonwood)
Lineage: Eukaryota; Viridiplantae; Streptophyta; Magnoliopsida; Malpighiales; Salicaceae
Description: long non-coding RNA (PTRI_LNC000485)
Source: RNAcentral
GAGGUUCGCACAAUAAAUUACUAAACACAUAACAUUACCCUUAUUUCUGGAAGUUCACACAACAAACACAUGAAAUAAGACAAAUUGUUGUAGCUAAUGAAACAGCUGGAAUUACUUCCCACCAAUGUCGAGUUGAUCAUGAAAUAGGUAACCAACCAACCUAAUGCAAACAUCAAGAACAAACAUCAUCCAGGCAUCUCGUAUUUGUUGAUUUAAUCCAACCAUUUAAAGAAGGACCUGCAAGAAUGAAUUACUAGCAUGCUUUUCAAAUUCCAAUGCCAAACUCUUUUAUCUCUUCCCACCCAUUAUAUGGGGUCCAUUUUCUACAAGUGCUGGUUGGCACGGAGCAACCAGUGCUGGAAUCCUCAGCUACUUGAGACACCUGCAAAACCAAUUCAAGCAUGGCAUACACGUUCCAACUUGUAAGUCUUAUUAUUGAGGGAAACAAGAAAUAAAAACACUUAAAGAGAGGCAAGAAAUCAUGUCAAAUAUACAGCACCUCUAAUUGAGCACUCAUUGAACCAUUUGAUGUAGUAGCGAAUCUUGUGGUCAGCUUUGGACAUUGACGCACCUUCAACAUCAACAAACAAGGAAAUAUGAAAUCACAACAUCCAUGACUGAAGUAGACAAUGCUUGGUAAUUCUUCUAGACUCAGCCACUCCAGAUCAGGGAGCACCAUCUCCUUCUCAACAUUGACAUGUGAAGCAUGAUCACCCUGCCCAAAUACUCCCAAUAAUUGAGAGGAUUCCUUUACUUUAAGUUUUUUGAGCUUUUUGAGACCUGAAGCCAUGGCUAUCGGGAAGAGACUCUUCAACUUGUUGCAUCCUGUGAUCUCAAGUCGACACAAAUUAGGGAAGCAUGAAGAUUGGAGGUCACUUCCUGACAAUAUCUGAUCCUUUUCAUCAUCAUUAUCCUUAGCAAUGAUUUGCUCCAAUUCCUCACAGUCUGAUAUCUCUAGAAUUUUCAGUUGAAUUAGACUAGCAAUCAUGCUGUUUGUGAAUACAUGUGUCAGUCUCUUACACUCGUUCACCUCCAAAGUAGUCAAAUUGCUCGGCACGAGACCUUUCCAAAUACACCUCAAGUUUGGCAAUAAGUUCAAGUGUAAUGUUUCCAAACUCACGAUUGAAAGUUCAUGCCCACCUCUUCUAUUAGUUAUCAAACAUCCAACUUGCAUUAAAUCUUGUACUCCUUCCAAGUUUUCAAUAGAUAUUUCUUUCAAAUUCAUAAACCUCUACAUCAAAAGAAAACAAGGGUACCAAUUUGUUAGAUGUAAUUCAUAGUAUUUAUUGUGCACUUUUAAAACUAAACGAGAGGCAAGAAAUCAUGUCAAAUAUACAGCACCUCUGAUUGAGCACUCAUUGAACCAUUUGAUGUAGUACCAAAUAUUGUGGUCAGCUUUGGACAUCCAUGCACCUUCAACGUCGACAAACAAGGAAAUAUGAAAUCACAGCAUCCAUGACUGAAGUAGACAAUGCUUGGUAAUUCUUCUAGACUCAGCCACUCCAGAUCAGGGAGCACCAUCUCCUUCUCAACAUUGACAUGUGAAGCAUGAUCACCCUGCCCAAAUACUCCCAAUAAUUGAGAGGAUUCCUUUACUGUAAGUUCUUGGAGCUUUUUGAGACCUGAAGCCAUGGCUAUCGGGAAGAGACUCUUCAACUUGUUGCAUCCUGUGAUCUCAAGUCGACACAAAUUAGGGAAGCAUGAAGAUUGGAGAUCACUUCCUGAAAAUAUCUGAUCCUUUUCAUCAUCAUUAUCCUUAGCAAUGAUUUGCUCCAAUUCCUCACAGUCUGAUAUCAGUAGAAUUUUCAGUUGAAUUAGACUAGCAAUCAUGCUCUUUGUGAAUACAUGUGUCAGUCUCUUACACUUGUUCACCACCAAAGUAGUUAAAUUGCAUGGCACGAGACCUUUCCAAAUACACCUCAAGUUUGGCAAUAAGUUCAAGUGUAAUGUUUCCAAACUCACGAUUGAAAGUUCAUGCCCACCUCUUCUAUUAGUUAUCAAACAUCCAACUUGCAUUAAAUCUUGUACUCCUUCCAAGUUUUCAAUAGAUAUUUCUUUCAAAUUCGUAUACCCCUACAUCAAAAUAAAACAAGGGUACCGAUUUGUUAGAUGUAAUUCAUAGUAAUUAUUGUGCACUUUUAAAACUAAAUGAGAGGCAAGAAAUCAUGUCAAAUAUACAGCACCUCUGAUUGAGCACUCAUUGAACCAUUUGAUGUAGUACCAAAUAUUGUGGUCAGCUUUGGACAUUGACGCACCACCAACAUCGACAAACAAGGAAAUAUGAAAUCACAGCAUCCAUGACUGAAGUAGACAAUGCUUGGUAAUUCUUCUAGACUCAGCCACUCCAGAUCAGGGAGCACCAUCUCCUUCUCAACAUUGACAUGUGAAGCAUGAUCACCCUGCCCAAAUACUCCCAAUAAUUGAGAGGAUUCCUUUACUCUAAGUUGUUGGAGCUUUUUGAGACCUGAAGCCAUGGCUAUCGGGAAGAGACUCUUCAACUUGUUGCAUCCUGUGAUCUCAAGUCGACACAAAUUAGGGAAGCAUGAAGAUUGAAGAUCACUUCCUGACAAUAUCUGAUCCUUUUCAUCAUCAUUAUCCUUAGCAAUGAUUUGCUCCAAUUCCUCACAGUCUGAUAUCUGUAGAAUUUUCAGUUGAAUUAGACUAGCAAUCAUGCUCUUUGUGAAUACAUGUGUCAGUCUCUUACACUUGUUCACCUCCAAAGUAGUUAAAUUGCAUGGCACGAGACCCUUCCAUAUACACCUCAAGUCAGGCACAAGCACGUAGAACAAAUUCAAUGUUUCCAAACUUGUUAACCCCUGCAUCAAAAGAAAAUAAGGUUACCAAUUUGUUAGAUAUAAUUCCUAGUAAUUUUUGUGCACUUUGAAACUAUUAUAUAAUUUUGUUAAAUAAAUGAACCAAUUAUCCCCAAUACCGAAAUACUUAUCAACAAGAAGAUAUAGAUAGACAAGGCAACGGGUCAUGGGAAUAUAAAAUCAUAUUUUUUCAUAUUUAUGAUAAUCUGAAUACAAACUAUUAUUUUAUAUUAGUUAAAUUAAAAGCAAUCAUGAAAAAUUAUACUUUAACUCAAAAAAAUUAAUUUUUUAUAUUCGAUUUAUAAUUAAAAAAACAAUUAUGACAUUUUCCAAAAAUAAAAAUAUAAAAGAAAAUAAUUUGAAUUUUACAUAUUAGUAAAAUGUUUUAAUAAAAAUGCUUGAUUAUGGAUCAUUUAAAUUAUUUUUUUCGUAACGAAAGGGAAAACAAAUUGUAAAAAAAAUGAAAAAAAUAUUAGAAAAAUAUGUUUUUUUGAAUUCAAUACAAAUUUGGGGGCUUUUUGAAGUUCCUUCGAAUGGAGAAAUAUUGUAUUUGAAAAGAAAGUGUCAAUNNNNNNNNNNNNNNNNNNNNNNNNNNNNNNNNNNNNNNNNNNNNNNNNNNNNNNNNNNNNNNNNNNNNNNNNNNNNNNNNNNNNNNNNNNNNNNNNNNNNACCAAAUACGAAGCUUUAUCGUCCUGUCCAAAUACUUGUAUAUUCUCAGACGGAGCUUUAUCGUCAUGUCCAAAUACUUUCCAUUAAGGCAGAAGAGCCUCAAUUUCACUCCUUUUAAAUUCAGUGGAUGGCUAAAGGAUUUGCUAGCAUUUAUCCAUUACUUUAGUUAUAGAAAUCUGAAGGAAGAAAUAAGAGAUUACAUUACAGUAAUUGAUGUCUAACUUCCUAAGCCAAUUUAAAUCAUCAAUUAAAUUCGGUGGAUGGUUAAAGAACUUAUCAAUUACUUUAGUUUUAGAAAUUUGGAGGAAGAUAGAACAAAUUAUCACAAUGUAUUGAAGUUGACAUUUUAAAUUAGAAAAGAAAAAAAUUGGAGAAAUAUAAAGGACGUACUUGAAGCUGUGCCCACAAAUUACCCCAUUCUUCGUGGCCUUCAAUGGUUAACACUUGCAAAGAAGGCAAUUGGGCAGCAAAAUCCUUUGGACCAAAAAAGCUGCACUUUGAAAAAUCCUCUGGACCAAAAAAGCUGCUCUUUGAAAGAGUCAAUUUUCUUAGCUGAGGGAAGUCGAUGAUGUCAUCUCCUACUCCACUGUAAAAUACUUGCUUUAAAUUGUCAGCAAAAUCAAUCUCCAUCUUUUCCAGGUUCUGAAGACUUGGAGAUACGGAGACGGGGAAGACAUAUUCAAGUUUACGACAGAAUCUUAUAGAGAGUUUUUUUAAUUUUGGGAAGCCAAGAGACUCUGGAAUUAUUUCCCCUUCGUCAUCCUUCUCUCUGAUAAGACGCUUCAAUUUUAGGCAACCGAAUAUCUCAAGUGUUUCCAAAUGAAUAAGACUUUGAGCGAGGGACGGUGUGAAAAUAAAUGUCAGUUUGUCAAGAGAAUUCAACUGCAGAUGAAUAAGACUUUGGAGGCUGACAUGUCUGGUGGGCCCCUUCCAUAUACAUUUGAGCUCAGGUAAAUAGGACAGCUGUAACUUUGUUAAAGAUAACAGCAGCCGCAGCUCCUUCUCCUCGUUAAUUCCUUCAUCCAAUUCAAAUACCUCUUCCAAUGAUUUGCAGUUAUUAAUAUCCACACUUAUUACAUUUUUCAAAGCUUGCCGCCAUUUUGCUGGAAACAGAGUGCGAAUAUCCCCUCACUUCUGCGUGUUCUAAUCUUUGUAAGAAGUCCUUUUGCGACCCAUGGCCAUGGGUGGUCAUCUGAUCAUCUGAUCAGGAGACAAUACUAUAUUUUCUAAACCCUCAAUGUUUCUAAAAUCAAUUUCAGACACAGUAGGAAACAAUUGCUCAAAUGUCUUUGCAUUUAAGGAUGCGGCGCUGAUAUCACGCAAAUAUAAUCUUGUCUUUGCAGUUCGGUAUUUUGUAGAGAGUAACUCAAUCCCUAACACUAUAUCAUAUUUGAGCAACCUGGGAAAAACAAAAUCUCUGGGAAUGCAUUCAACCUUCGGUAUCUUCAAUGAUAAUACAGCUAAAUGAGACAGCGAACUUAGUUCUGUUAGGCUUGCAUUCAUUCCUUCUGUGCUGUCACGUCCAACAACAUCCCAUCCCUUGAAGCUCCCAUCCCCGAUCAACAGUUCUUCUAACUUCUUCAACCUUCCUAUCAAAUUCACAGGAAUCCUUCUUAGAUUGUAACAAGCUGUCAAAUCCAACAACCUUAACUCCUUGAGCUCCCCAAUUUCAUCGGGUAAUUCUUCAACGGAGGAGCGCCACAUGAAACCAAGAAUCUCAAGUCUUUGCAGCUUUCUCAACCAAAUGAGGUCCUUGCAUUCACACUCGAUCAAUAGCAACGAUUGAAGGUUCGUUGAGAAUUGAAGUGAUUGCAAUGACAAACACCCUCCCUUUAGAGACAAAACUUCAAUUGCUUUCAUCCCUUCAAAAAACCUCUCUGGAACAUUCAAACCACGAUCCAGUUCUAAUAAUAGAACUUUGAGCUGUGGACACACCAAUCCUUCAGGAAGAUCUGUUAGUUUAUUGCCCAUUAACGAGAUUACUGUACAUCCUUCAAAGCUUUUAUUGCUCGUUGGCCACUCCAGCAACCCAAUGCCAGCCUUUACCAUGAAUCCGUAUUUUUCUGAUGAUGCUAUCCGAAUAGCAACAUCACGAACCAAGUCAUGCAUUUUCACAUAUUCUUCUCGUUCAGUUCCUAACAGCAUACAACAAGCUUUGAGGUUUUUGAUUGCCACAUAAACUCGUUUCCUUGCAUCUUCAAUGGACUCCGCAUCUUUAUGUAACCCAUAGCCAACUGCGUAUCUCGUCAAGUCCUCAAUUGGAAUGUUGUAAUCUUCUGGAAAUAAACAGCAUAGCAAGAAACAUGACUUGGUUUCGUCGGACGUCAAAUAAUCAUAGCUCAACUUAAGACAUGCAUAUGCAUUUUUUUGUCCGUCAAUUUGUUCCAAAUGCCGAAAUUGAGAGUUUUUUAGCUCUUCAGACGCUACUUCCCACUCAACAACAGAUUUAUCUCUUAGAGCCCUUCCCACUGUCACAAGUGCUACAGGCAAUCCAUUACAUUCUCUCGCAACCUUCUUUGCCACCGUGUUCAAGGUAGAGUCCUCGUCACGUAAAUCUGCAUUGAUUCUGAAUAAAGCCCAUGCUUCCUCUUUAGAAAAGAGACCUAAAAAAACUUUUUCCUUGCACUUCAUAUAAGAACACAUGUCUUCAAGACGUGUUGUUAGAAGAAUUUUACAACCCCUGUGAUCAUCACCAAAUGGGAUCCCUAUCUCUUGGAAGUCAAUAUCUUUCCAAACAUCAUCCAGGACUAUAAGCAUCUUCUUUCCCUGCAGUCUCUGCCAUAGUUCUUUUGCUCUCCCUUCUUUACUCUUCUUGUCAAAUUGCAGAUCUAAACUAUCUGCCAUUUGAUCCUGGAUGCCUGUGGCAUUUGGAUUCUGGGACACCGUAGCUAUCAAAACUUCAUCAAAAAGGUGCAACUCUUUGGCUCUCCUGCCUACUUCUUUCACCAGGGUGGUUUUACCCACCCCUCCCAUGCCGUACAGUCCGAUCAUAUUGACCUUGUCAUCUUUGAGAGCUUUCAUAAUCUGUUUGAAAGCUUCUUUUGACGAUCCUGAGAAUGUGAAUUCCUUUGAUGUAAGAAAUUUUAUCUCUUGAAGGGGUGCUUUGUGGGACACUUUUGGAAACUUUCUGCUUUUUUCUUCAUGUUUUCUCGAAGUCUCCGUCUUCUUUGCCAGUGCCUUGCUUAACUUGAAUUGUCGCAUCGAAUUUGGACACCAAGUAAAGCAUUUGCCAAUUUUUCCUUUUUCAUUUUGCAAACGUUUCACACCUUCAAUUUCGUUUUUUGCAUUUUCCAGCCAUGUGUUGACAUCAAUCUCAAUUUCUUCAGCAUUCCUUUCAGCAACGUUGACAGCAUCUUGCAGACGAUAAAAUGCCAAAGCCAAGUUCAUCAUUUGUUCAUCGAAUUCUUGAACAAAAUUGUUGAAACAGAACAUGUAACGGAACUGCUUGAUUGCUGGUUCCACCAAGAGCUCUGCUAUCUUAGAUACAACGGACCCACCAACACUUUCGAUAGCCAUUUUCCACCAGUCUCUCUGUAUGGAAGGUUGAUGGUGAUCACUUUGACACCUGCACGAAUGAUACGAGCUGCUCAUCGCUUCCAACAACACAUCUAAUCAAUCUAAUGCUAUGAUAGGUCAAUGUUUUUUUUUUUUAAAAAAAGUUAUGAAUAAGGAGACAAAAAAGACUUGCAAGGAAGUAUAAUUAAUGGAACGAACUCAACAAAGGAUCAAUCUUAGCCAACUAAAAUCUGUAAUGACUAUCUCUGCAUCAUACGCUUAUUUACACAACAGCUUUAUCUAAUUUUAAACACUCAUUUCCUCGAUUAUUAAGUAAGGGGAAUAUCUUUUGUUAUAUCUAGUUCAUGGAUCUAUGUGCUUUUUUCCAUAAAACAAAGAUAGAAAUACUUUUUUUUUUCUUCUCAAAACCAAUAAACAGAAUUUCAUUAGUGAAAGAUAGCAUACCACCGAUCUAACGAAUACAUUGAAACAAAAUAGUUUACACUUAUGAGUUUAAAGCAGCAAUUCCCAUAAAAAUGCAAUUUUAUGAAAUAAUUAAGAUAAAAAGCAUAAUAUAAAGAUAAUGUCAAACAAAUAAAAUUAAGAAUAAUAUGCACAAGUGCUCACCUAGCAAAGAGAGAAAGGAAUGGAAGGCUGAUGAUGAUCACUUUGACACCUGCACGAAUGAUACUAGCUCCUCAUCGCUUCCAAUAACACAUAUAAUUAAUCUAAAGCUAUGAUCGGUCAAUUGUUUUUUUGUUUUUUGAAAAUUAUGAAUAAGGAUAAAAAAAGACUUGCAAGGAACUCAACAAAGGAUCAAACUUAGGCCACUAAAAUCUGCAAUGACUAUCUCCGCAUCAUACACUGAAGCAAUAAGACUUGCCCACAAAUAGGUUUUGCUCUCGAGUUGUUGUGAUUGCCCUCGCAUAUGCGCUAUGCCUAAAAGUAAGCCCAAAAUCCUAAAAAAAGUCUUUUUUUUUUUGUUUUUUGUCGAUCCUCUAUUAAAUUAAGGCAAUCGGCAUUGAUGCUUUUUUUUUUUUUAAUGAGAAAAGGAGGGAUUGUCAACAAGGUCGCUGUUCAGUAACUCUCAUGUGUGAAAUCAAAGACCUGCACCGAGUUUUUCAUUGCUAUCCUUUGUUUUAUUUUUAUUGAAAUACACUCUCCCUAGUUAAUUUCCUCUUGGCACCUUUUUUUUAUUUAAUUGAGUUUUGUUUGAAAAUAUAUUAAAUUAAUGUUUUUUUAUUAUUCUAAUAUAGUGAUGUAAAAUAUUAAAAAAAAUUAUUUAGAUAUAUUCUUAAACAAAAAAAUUAUUUUAAAAAACAUCUUAUAUUACAAUAUUAAUCCCACACUCUCUUGGCAUUCUUAAUCUUUUUCUGGUUUUACUUUUAUCCUUUUCUUUUUUCUUUUUUAUUAAGACAAAAAUAUACAAGAAAAAAACCUCUUCAGAUGGUUCAUGUUCAAACCCUAAAAUAGGUUUGAUGGAAAUAUAGAAAUUAACUAGGGAGAGUCUAUUCCCACUACACACCUUAAGAGUAAAAUUUGUAAUAAUUAGGUCCCUUUAACCUUAUUAUGCCUUGUCUUUUAGCACCACACAUUUCCUCUCUGAUUGAGGCCAUAAAAUCAUGUUCUUGUUUCUCACUCUGUCCCCGCUUUUCAAAACACUCCCAUGUUCUUAUUUCAGCGGUCCUGACGAAAGAAAGAAAACAAUGGUGAGAAGAGGUCGAUUCACGAGGACAAUAAUGUUGUUUUAAAAACUUUGCAUGUGAUGUUAAUAACAAAGAUAGUAAUGGUGAUUUUCACGAGGAAAAUAAUAGUCAAUUCCCUGUCAUUUUCAAGAAAAUAAUAAUAUUUAAAAAAAUUUGCAUGUGAUAUUAAUAAUAAUAAAAAAGUUUCUCUCGUACGCGUCUUUUUUUUCAUUUAAGAAAAUCAAAUAAUUUGAAUGAUUACUUAGAUAUUUCACAAGUAUUUUUUAAAAAAAUAUAUUUAUUUAUUUAUUUUAAAUUAAUAUUUUUUAUAUAUUUUUUAAUUAUUUUAAUUUUCUGGUGUCAAAAAUAAUUUUUAGAAAAUAUAUAUUAUUUUAAUAUAUUAAAAAAAUACUUUGAAAAGCAACUAUCACAUUUCUAAAUUAUUAUAUUAAUUUAGAUUAAUUAAUUUUAUAUAGUCACAUAAUUUUUUAAAAAAAAUUUUAUUUUAACUUUGUCAAAUAUAGAUAGUUGGUUCGGCUGAAUUUCAACUUAAAAAAAAAUAUAUAAAGUUAGUUUGCAUAUCCUUUGAUAUUAGUAGCAGUCGUCAAGGUGCUAGAAGGAGGGAAAUCUACAACCAGCAACAAUCAGAAGAUAUCACCAAUCCAUUACAGCUAAAAUAUUUUAAAAAUUAAUGUUAAAAAAUCCAGCCUCAAUCCAUUAUCGAAAUGUUUGUUUGAAACCACACUAACUUUAUAAAAAAAACAUAUUAAAAUAAAUUAUGAAAUUCAAUACUUAAUAUUUUUUUAAUUGAUAUAUGAAAAGAUACUCUUUGUAUUUUAUAAAACAAAUUAAAAAUAUAUAUGAAUUAAUAAAUCAAAAGGAGUUGUUAUCACUAAUUUAAUAUUAAAGCAUAAAGUUAAUCUUUAUAAUAAAAAUAAAAUAUAGAUAAACAUGCAGAUAUUUUACAAUGAUUGUUAUUUUUAUUUUAAUCAUGUUUAGAACAAAUCAAACUAAUUUCUUUGAAAUAUCAUGCAACUAAAGUUAUAUAAAAAAUCAAUCAUUAUUUAAAAAUAGAGCUAAUUUAAUAAAAAUAUUUACCAACAAACUUUUCUUAUAUAAUAAAACUCGUUAAUAUCAAAAAUAAUAAGUUUCGUCAUUAACUAAGUUUAUCUCUCUUUCACUAUUUUGAAGUGACGUUUUUUUUUUUUUUUUUUUUUAAGUUAAGAGACCUCCCAAAUCAAGCCCUUACAUGGAUGGAUUAGGUUUCAAAAUUGAACUAGCCUUCCCAUGCGACCUAGGUAAAAUCUAGUUUGAUAUUAAGGGAAAAACAAAUCAACUGAAUGACUUUUUAAUUUUUUUUUUAUAUACUAAAAUAAUAAUAUUUUUUAUUAACUUGGAUCAACUCAUAAAUUAGAUGAUGGGCUGGAUCAGUUCAAUAACUUAUUUUUUUUUAAUUUGUUUUCUAACUAUAAGAUAAUAAAAGCUGACAUGCAAAGAAAAGCUACCGAAUACAGUAAAGAAAACCAUAGUGGAGGUUUGCAACAACAAAAAAGUGCCCUCAAAUGUUAUAUAAAAAAAAAUCAAACGAUAUUUAAUCAAACAACAAACAAAAAUGUUUUAUCAAUCAAAUAAACUUUUUUAUAUUAAAAAAAAAACAAAACACCAUGAAGGGGUGUAAAGAAAUAAAGCAUGCUAAAAUAAUAUGAAAAAAGGUUACAAUUAUUUUUUAGUUUAUUUUUUUAUGAUAUUAUCAAAAAUUAAAAAAUAAUUUAAUUAAAAAAAAACACUUUUUUUUUGUAAAAAAUGAUCUCAAGGUCAAUUUAAAAAAUUAACACGAUGAUUAAAAGGUAUUUGGGAAUAUGAUUGUGAUUAUUUUUUACUUGAAAAUACAUUAAAAUAAUAUUUUUUAUUUUUAAAAAAUUAUUUUUGAUAUCAAUAUAUCAUAUUCUAAAAAUGUAUAAAAAAAUAAUUUAAAAUAAAAAAAUAAAAAAACAUUUAGUUUUUUUUUUAAAUAUAAAAAAACACAUGCGUAAAUCAUUCACCGGUCAGAACUAUCAUCAAGUCUGAUACUAUCAGGAACAAUUAGCUAAAUCGUGUGUUUCACGCGUCUAGAUCUUUUAAAAUAUGAUAAAGAAUCGAGCGUUCGAAGCACGCGCAUGUAGUGAGAGUGAAACUUAAUUCUCCCACUGGCUCUCCAAUGAUAAAGGCAUAGGUUUAACUGAAGAAAACAAAAUGCAUUGAAUGGCUGCCAUUAAUGGGACCUCUGCUUCUUCUUCAUUCAAUUUCACCCCCGGUAUAUGUCAAUUAAACCCCUAUAAUUCGAAGCCUUUUACAAAAUGAUUUUUAGCUGUGAAAUUUUUCAAUUUAACUCCUAAUUGACCCCAAAACUUUAAUUUUCUUGUGAUUUUAUCUCUUAUUUCAAUCAAUCGAUUAGAUAAAAAUAAAAUUUGGUCUUUUAAAAUUUCAAUAUUCUCAAUUAAGUUCAAAUUAGGCUCCCAAACUUAAUGUUUUAAAAUUAAUUUGACUCUUUUAAAGUAUAAUUAAGUCCUUAAACUUAAUUAAAUUCUUUAAUUGGACCCAAAUUAAUUCUUAAACAUAAUUAAACUUUAAUUUGGCCCAUGAUUAAAUCAAACUGUCCUAUUACAAAUUUAAUUAUGUCCAUGAACUUAAUUUUUAUGCAAAUUCAUCAAAUAAUCAUUUAAUUUAACCUUGAAUUUGCAUUAUUUCUCAAUUUUUAAGCAUAAUAGGGUACAAUUAAGCCUCAAAUUUCCUUCAAAAUUGUAGUUUGAUUUCUAUGUAUUUUUGGAAUCUUCCUCAAUCCGCUUUCUUCACAUUAUCAAUUUUUAUUUUAUUAUUUUAUUUUUAUUUUUUUAAAAAAAUAAAUUUAAAUAAUAACCCAGAAAUAAAUUAUUACAUUAUUAAUGAUAUUAACUUUAAACAUUAUAUCGAGUGUUAUCGCUCCUGUCACUAUUUAACGGUCACAUUAAUAUUGAAUUAAUAUAUAUUUACUUAAAUACUUCAUUGUACAAAAUAAAAAAUUAAACAUUCAAAAUUACUUUAUCACAUAUUCGAACACUUAUUUAAUUUGGGUAAAAGUCACACUGAUUUACACAAUAGCUUUAUCUAAUGAAGCUGAUUUGGUUUCAAUUUUAUUACCUGAAUUUUACACACUCAUUUCCUCGAUUAUUAUGUAACGGGAAUGUCUAUAUUUUUUUAUAUAGUUCAUAGAUCUAUGUGCUUUUUCCAUAAAACAAAGAGAGAAAUACUUUUUUUUUCCUUCUCAAAACCAAUAAAAAGAAUUUCAUUAGUGAAAGAUAGCAUACCAUCGAUGUAACGUGAAACAAAAUAGUUUACACUAACGAGUUUAAAGCAUUAAUUCCCCCAAAAAUGCAAAUUUAUGACAUAAUUAAGAUAAAACGCAUAAUAUAAAGAUAAUGACAAACAAAUAAAAUUAAGAAUAAUAUGCACAAGUUAGAAGAUGUCAAUUCCCUGUCAUUUUCACGAGGACAAUAAUAUAAUGGUCAAUAAUGAUUACAAUUAUGUUUUAAAAAGUUUGCAUGUGAUAUUAAUAACAAAGGUUCUCUCGUGCGCGACUUUUUUUUUCAUUUUAAAAAAUAAAAUAAUUUGAAUGAUUACUUAGAUGUUUCACAAGUAUUUUUUUAAAAAAACUAAAUUUUAUUUAUUUAUUUGUUUGUUUUAAAUUAAUAGUUUUUAAUAUGUUUUUGAUUAUUUUGAUAUGUUGAUAUCAAAAUUUAUUUUUAAAAAAUAUAUAUUAUUGUGAUGUAUUUCUAAAUAAAAAACACUUUGAAAAUCAACCAACAUCACACUUUUAAACAUACUUUGAAUUCAUGGGUUAUUGGAUUAUUGCCUCAAUUUAGAUUAAUUAAUUUUAUUAAAGAAGCAUAUUUUUUUCUUUAAAAAAAAAUUCUUAAUUUUAAGUUGAUUAAAUCUAGAUCAGAUCUGGUUAAUUCAACUGAAUUUUCAACUUCAAAAAAAAAAAAGAAGAAGAAGAAAACAUGAAAUAGUUUGCAAAUCCUUUGAUAUGAGUAGCAGUCAUCAAGAUGGAAGAAGGAGGAAAUCUACAACCAGCAUCAAUCAGAAGAUAUCAGGGAACUAAAAUUAACCCUCUAAUAAUUAAACAUCUUGGGAGUAUCCUAGAAAUCCUUUGAUAUUUUAAUUGCUCAUUAAAGCAUAUCAAUCAGAAUNNNNNNNNNNNNNNNNNNNNNNNNNNNNNNNNNNNNNNNNNNNNNNNNNNNNNNNNNNNNNNNNNNNNNNNNNNNNNNNNNNNNNNNNNNNNNNNNNNNNNNNNNNNNNNNNNNNNNNNNCUUAAUUAUAAAAUUAUGCAAUUUAGUUUUUUUUAUCUAAUUUUCUAAUUAAAUCAUGUAAAAGUUAGCUUAAAUUAAAUUGAUUGAUUUUAUGGAUUAAAAUAUAAUUUUAAUAACUGAUAAAAACAUGACUUAAUUUUUAAUAAAACUUUUAAAAUGAUAGCUUUUUUUAAAAAAAACAAAUACCAUUAAACUAUAUGGGUGUUAUCAAUUUUGCACCCAAUUUAUUUUUUAUAUUAAUUUUAUUAGUAAACUAUUUUUAUUUUUCAAUUAAGGAUUUAUGUUACAAUUACCUAAAAAAAAUAAGUAUUUUACAAAUUAAUAUCAUUGGGAGUGUCCCAGAAAUCCUUUGAUAUUUUAAUUGCUAAUUUAAAACAUAUCGAUCAUGAAGUAGUUCAGCUGAUGUGAGUGUCUCAUGAUCUAACUUCUACUAGUUUAUUGAACUGUUAUUCAUUGGAUAAUUUUUUUUAAAUGUAAAAAAAUAUUAAAAGCAUGAAGAUCUUUUAAUUAUAUUAUUGAUUUAAUAAGUUAAUUUUAUAAUUUAGUUUUUUUUAUCUAACUCAAGUUUUUAAUUAAAUCAUGUAAAAUUUAGCUUAAAUUAAAUUAAUUGAUUUUAUGGAUCAAAAUACAAUCUUAAUGAUUGUUAAAAACAUGACUUUUUAAUAAAACUUUCAAAAUGAUAGCCUUUUUUUUUAAAAAAAAAUAUACCAUUAAACUACAUGGGUGUUAUCAAUUUUGCACCCAAUUUAUUUUUUAUAUUAAUUUUAUUACUAAACUAUUUUAAUUUUUCAUAGAAAGUAAACAAAAAAAAUAGCGUGAGUCUCAACCUAGAUUAACUUGCCAAACCCGCAACCAAGGUCAUGAGAUUGUGAUAACUUUAUAAAAAGUAAAUCAAAACAAAUUAUAAAUCUUAAUUUUCAAUAAACUUAUUGUUUAAGGUUGAAAUUGAAAAAAAAAUCAAUCUAAAAAUAUUAUAUAAUAAAAGACCUGAGUCUACACGACUUAAUUCGUAAAACACGUGACCUGAGUCAUAAAACCAGGAUAACCUCAUAAAAAACAAACCAAAAUAAAUCAUGAAGCUUAAUUCAUAAUUAACCCAAUAUUGAAUGAUAAAAUUGAAAAAUACCAAUUAUAAAAAGACAAAAAAAAAUUGAGCUAACUCGUCAAACCCGUAAUACGAGUUAUUAGACUUAGCUAACCAUAUAUAAAGCAAACUAUUAUAAAUUAGUAAGCUCAGUCUCCAAUAAACUAAAUGUUGAAAUAUGAAAUUAGAGAAAUAAUAUAUAGAUUUAGAAAACAAAAAACAAAAUUAAAAAAAUAUUAUUGGAAUGAAUAGUGUUUUGUGAGGCGGUAAAUAGUAAAUUCACCACCUCUUUUAGUUUAUAGCGUAUAAAGAAACUAAACUAACCAUAUAUAAAGCAAACUACAAUAAAUUAUUAAACCCGGUCUCUAAUAAACUAAAUGUUGAAGUAUGAAAAUAGAGAAAGAAAUAUAGAUUUAGAAAAAAAAAACCAAGUAAAAAAAACACUAUGACGAUGCAUUUUUUUUAAAAAAAAUUAAGAUUUUGAUCAUUGACUCAAGAUAAAACAAAUAAAAAGAAAUGAAAAAAAUACCUAAGUCAAACUUGGUAAAUCUAUUGAAUCGAUGACUUGAGACAUAAUAUCAGGAUAACUCUAUAGAAAAAAAUGGAAAAACAAAUACCAAUUUUCAAAAAACUUAAUUAAAAAAAAAAAUCUCUCAUGUAUUGCCUCAAUUUAAAUACACGAGGAUGAAAUUAAAAAAAUUAAUUUAAUUAAAAAAAUCCUUUUAAAGAAGCAAAAUUUAACAAAGAUUGAAAGAAAAAACUUUGAGGCAACCCUUGUUAUUUUAAAAAGAAAGAUAAAUCCUAUAAAAAGAGGGUAAAAAAAGAAUGUUAUAGGUUGAAAUAUGAAAAAGAAAAGAGAUUAAAAAAAGAAACAAAACACCAAAGAAGCCCGAGUGAACCCUAUAAACUCGGGUUAAACUCUUAAACCCUCAAUCCAUUAAAUUCUUGGCCCAAGCUCAACGCAGGAGCUCAACACCUAAAAAAUUAAAAGUUGAAAGAUAAAAUCAAUCACUUUAAUUCAAUUUAAAAAUAAAAUUCCUUCAUAAAAACUAAAUUCAACAAAGACAAAAAAAAAAAAACCAAGGCAAUCUGCGUUAUUUUUAAAAAGACUAAAAAAUACAAUAUAAAGUGAAUUAAAAUAUAACAAAAUGCUAGAGGAUGGAAAAAAAAGGAAAAAAAAACAAAGAAACUGGGGUCAAUCUCUUAAACCAAUAAACCAUUAAAUUUUAGACUCAGACUCAACUAAGAAGCUAAAGACUCGGCUAAUUAAAUGUUGGAGGAUGACAUAAUAAAAAAAAAAUCAAUCUAAAAAAAUCUUGCAAAGUCAAAAAAAAUACAAUAAUAAAAAAAGAUUAGAUUUAACAGGAAAAAAACUAAAAAAUAAUGAAAUUGAAAAAAAAAAAAUUGUGAAAACCAUCUGAAAUUGAAAACAAUUCUUAAUUUAGUAGACUAUUCUAAAUUAAAAAAAUGCAACAAAGAGAAUAAGGAUGAAAUUGAAAAAACCACAUAAUUUCACAUAAUUUCAUAAAGUAUUCUAAAUUUAAAAAUUAUAAUAAAGAGAAUAGGGAUGAAAUCAUAAGUACAAUAAACUUUAGGGACUAAUUUGAUUUUCUAAUCCCAACAUGAAAAUCGAGUAGGAGAGAGGGGAAAAAAACAAAAGGUCACACGCGUCACACCAACCACUAUAGUGCUACACGCGUCAUUGAUUCAUUGGGGGGGGGGGGUUGAGAUUCUUCGGAAGCCUCCCUGGAAUCACCAUUAUGGCUAUUGAAUGACGCUACACACACCGUUUGGAGGUGGCAAACAUUGUUCACAUGAUUCUGUUUUUUUUUUAAUUUAAUUUUUUAAUUUACCAAAUUAUUUUAUUAUCUCCAACGACACCCAAUAACUACUAAAUGACCACAUCUAAAUGACAAAAAAGCGUUAGAGUCAAAGAUAAUUGUUUUAAAUUUUCAAGGGCAAAGAAGUAACAUACUUGUUGAAAAAUCAAGUCAAGGAUUAAUAAGCCCCUAGACCCAAGAUUGUUUUCCAAGGGUAAUUAAAUCAUCACAUUGUGCAAAGAAAAUGCAAGAAUAUCGUUUAGCCCUUCCCUUUGAAACAAUGACCAAUGUAUCCCAUAAAAAAAACCAUUAUAUCUCUAAAUUCAAGGCAUGCUACUUUGCUCACUAAAGGGUAAAAUCAGCCAUUAGUCUUUCACUAUACGAAUCCACAAUGAAAGGCUGCUAUCUUUUAGUAUAUAAUAUAAUAUAAAGGAAAAACUUGUUCAUUUAAUUUUUUGAUUUAAAUUAAUAACUUUGGAAACUGUAUUUAAUUUUAAAAAAUAUUAAAUUAAUGUUGUUAAUUAAUUUUUAAGAAUUUUUUAAUGAUUUUGAAGUGUUUUUUUAAUUAAAAAAAAUUAUUUUAAUGUAUUUUUAAUUGAAAAAUAUUUUUGUAAAAUCAUUCUACAUCACAUUACCAAACAUACAAUAAUGAUAGUUUUUAUAGUUAUGAUUUGAAAAAAUAAAUGUAACAAAAACACUUUUAGUUGCGGUUUUUUUUUUUAAAUAUAUUUGGUUAAAAGUAUUCUAAGAUAACUUUUGCAUGUAAAAUAGAUAAAAAAACGAAUAAAAAAUAAAUUAUUUUAUCUUCCAGCAAUUAUGUACGACGUACAAUGCAAAAAAUCAGAAGUUAAUUAGGAACACAUGGCUAACAGUCUUUAAGACUUUGACAUCAUUUCAACAAUAUAAAAAAGGGUAAUAACCUUUAUAAACUCUAUCGAUGGUAAUAUAUUUAAUAUCAGCCUUUUGUUAUAGCAUUGUUAUAUAAGACAGAAUAAUAACUCUUUGAAUCACAUAACAUGCGUCCGUUAACCUUUUUUUUCUUAAGUUUCAAUUUUCUUUUAUUUUUAAAACUAUUUUAAAUAAAAAUAAUAAUAAGCAAUUAAUUAUAAAGAUAAUUCUUAGAAAUGUAUAAAAAAGUUAUACAUAAAUUUGUGUGAUGGGAUAGUAUUUUUAUUUGUAUCCCCCUUAUCUACGAAUCAUCAUGGCUUUGCCUAUGAGAAUAGUCACCAAGCUGUUUUCUUUAUUGUUCAUCAAAUUUUUUUCUUUUGAGUGAGUGAGUAGGUUUACCAAGAAGUUUUGGAAUUUAUAUUCAAGUAUAAAAAUCACGUUGAUAUUCUUAUAUUUCCUCUCAAGUAUAUAACGGUUACUCUAGGUCUGCCGAGUUGAUAGAAUUUUGCUUAAUUACCCACAUUAAAUCUUAUAUGUCUACUUUUUAUUUGUUUUUUCUUUCCAUUAAAUUGAGUAGUUUGUACUUUGUAGUGUUGAAUGUUGACUCUCGAUUCGCAUUUACCAACACUAAGGUGGCUGGUAGACUUUUUUUAUGAAUAGAAGGUGGCUUACUGAUAUCUUAUACUUGGUAAAAUAUAAAUUUAUUAUCUAUUUGAUAAAGUAUCAGGACGUUUUAGCAUGACUGAUGUAUUUUUACGCAAAGAAGAUGGUUUUAGGUAUGCUAUAGAUUAACAACUAGGUUUAUUUUUCCCGUGUGUCAAAUAUUUGGAGAAAAGAGAGAAGAUAAUGCGACUUUUUGUUCAUACUGAUAAUGCGAUUGUUUUAAAUAUGUGCAGAAGGCAGAAAACAUGCACCUAAAGCUGGACUUCAGGGCUAUAUUGUUUUCUAAAACUGUUGAAUUUCAAAGUAACCUGAAGAUUGGUCAUCGAUCCUCGUACACUUUUGAAUAUGCCAAUUAUCAAUAUAAUAUUUCUAAAGAGUUAGCUGCACGUUUGAAAAGUUGCAUGGGAUUCUGAUGCGAAUUCACUUGUCCAUACAUCGAUUUGAUAUAUGGUUUUGCGAUAGAAAUAUAAUUUAGAUUCUAGAACUUCAUCUUCUUCCGCAGUACUGUCCAAACAUCAUCAAUAAAGAAUGAUUUGGUAGUGGAGAGUGGGACUGAUUCUUGGCAUAUUUUAUCUGAGUCGGAUGAUUAUAUGUUAGAAAUCCAUGAAGCGCAAGGGCACUCACACAACUUUUCAUGGCGGUGCUCCCCAGUAGCUAGAGACAAACAUUUAAAUAACUCAGGAUAAGUACACGAGGAUUGUUAGGGGAAAUUAUUUAUUUUUUAGUUAUUUUUAUUUAAUUUAGAAAAUUAUUUUUGUUUAUGGUGUUUAUUUUUUUAUUUAGUUUAGAAAAUUAAAAAAAAUAGAUAACAGUAACUACUCUCAACCAAAUUUACAAUUAACAACAAAUAUCUUUAUAUUUUAUAAGAACAACAAAAUAAUUAUUACGGUGGAUAAAAAAAUUAUAAGAAGGGUUACAGUGAGUCCUCCUUCUGUUCAUUUUUAAUGCCGUAAAAGAUAAUAAAUGUUUCCUAAUUAAUUGGAUGGCCUUGUCUCUAGAGUCACUUUUUCUUCGCAUACAGGGCAUGGACUUCGGAGUCGUUUUCAAGCAAUUUAAAGAAAUCUUUAACAAGUCCCGUAUAUUAAGGCUCUGCAUUGAUUUUUAUUGGGGGUAUUUUGACAUGUUUUUUUGAGGUUAUAUAUAUAAUUUAAUAAAUAUAAUUUCAAUUCAAAUUUAAAAAUAAAUUAACUUGGAAUUAUACCAUUUAAAUUUUAAAUACAAGUAAAAAUAUAAAAGUUGACAGAUUCGAUCAACUUGACGGGUCAAAAAUAACACAAACAAUAAUAAAAAUAUAUUUUUACUCCAAAUAAAUUUUAAAAUGCUUAGCCCACGUGCGGAAUUCAAGCUUUCACACUCGCUUGCCUCUUGAAUUCUUGUAGUAUUCUUUCCUCUUCCUGCCUAAAAUAUGAACAACAGGAAGCUGUUCACACUGGCGAUGGUUUCUGUAUUCCUUUUUUUAUUUUUUCUGUCAAGAGCGGACCUCCUGACAAUUAGCACAAAUAUAAAAUUAUAAUGAUCUGUGUGAGGGCCAAUCCUCUUCUUGCUUUCCUUGAAAACCUCCAAGAAAUACCAGUAACCUUUCAUGGUUUUUGCUGAGCCAAUCCACUUUUUGGCUUCCUUGAAAACCUCUCAGAUAUACCAGUCAACUCGUUGCUUAAUUUAAGCUCAUGGUGUUUCUACUUUUAAGCGCUCUCUCUCCCUUCUUUUUGUCUUUUUAUUGACUGGUAUUAACCAAGAGUUUGAUUAAAUAAACCUUCCAUAAAUUUGACAGCGCAUGUUCUUCCCUCCAACAGUUGACAACUUGCUUGUGGAUUAAUGUAAAAAUUAAUUAGUACUAAUCAUGUUUGUUGAGGUUAUUUGUAUUUUGUCAUUUGGAGCACAAAUUUUUAUUCACAUGUUAUGAUAAUUAAAUGCUUUUAAAAAAUUCAGAUUUAAAAAUUAGGUUGUGCUUAGUUAGUAUUUUAGGAUAUAAUAAACAAAUAUAGGAGUGAUGAGGUUUGGAGGCAUGAGAAAUACAUUCCUCAUUUAUUCUAUCAAGAUUUACAAAUGAUGAUAAAAAAAUAAAAUUGAAGAAGAAUCUUAUUUUUAUUAGGUUUCAUGAAAUACUCUGCUCACAUAUUUUUUAUAGGAAGAAAUUCAGAUUAAUAUUUUUUAGAUAUAAGUCAAAUAAAUCUAAUUUUAAAAUUAAUUUGGAGUAAUCAAUGUUGGCUGAGGUUAUUUUGAUUUUGUAAUUUAUAGCCGAUUUAUCAUGUAGGUGUGUGGGUGCCUUUUGUUUUUUUAACUUUUAUCCUUGUAAUAAUCAAAUGCUUUAAGAGAAUCAGAAAUUAAAUGAAAAAAAUUAGGUUAUUUAGGUUAUAUUUGUUUAAUAUUCAAGGGAGAUACCAAUAAAAAAAAAAACAUAAAAAGAAUGUUAGAGGUUGAAAUAUGAAAAAAGAAAACAGCUUGAAAAAAGAAAGAAAACACCAAAGAAGCUUGAACGUAAAUCCUAUAAACUCGAGUUAAACUCUCAAACCCGCAAUCCAUUAAAUUCUUGACUCAGACUCAACGUAGGAGCUUAACACCUAAAAAAAUAAAUCUUGGAAGAUGAAAUCAAUCAAUUUAAUUCAAUUUAAAAAUAAAAUUCCUUCAUAAAACUAAAUUCAACAAAGACAAAAAAAAAAAAACCAAGGCAACCUGCAUUAUUUUAAAAAAGACUUAAAAAUACCAUAUAAAGUGAAUUAAAAAAUAACAAAAUGUUGGAGGAUGGAAAAAAAAGGAAAAAAAAAACAAAGAAACCGGGAUCAAUUUCUUAAACCAACAAACCGUUAAAUUUUAGACCCGGACUCAACUAAAAAGCUAAAAACCUAGCUAUUUAAAUGUUGGAGGAUGACAUAAUAAAAAAAUCUUGCAAGGUAAAAAAAAAAAUUGUGAAAACCAUCUAAAAUUAAAAACAAUUCUUAAUUUAGUAGACUAUUCUAAAAAAAAAAAAAAGGCAACGAAGAGAACAAUAAUGAAAUUGAAAAAACCACAUAAUUUCACAUAAUUUCAUAAAGUAUUCUAAAUUUAAAAAAUUAUAAUAAAGAGAAUAGGGAUGAAAUCAUAAGUACAAUAAACUUUAGGGACUCAUUUGAUUUUUUAAUCCCAACACGAAAAUCGAGUAGGAGAGAGGGGAAAUGAAAAAAAAAAGGCCACACACGUCAUACCAACCGCUAUAGUGCUACAUGCGUCGUUGAUUUGUAGGGGGACAUUGAGAUCCUUCAGAAGCCUCCCUGGAAUCACCAUUUUGGGUAUUGGAUGAUGCCGCACAUAUCGUUCGGAGGUGGCAAACAUUGUUCACUUGAUUCUAUUUUUUUAAUUUAAUUUUCUUAUUUACCAAAUUAUUUUAUUGUCUCCGAUGACACCUAAUAACUACUAAAUGACCACAUCUAAAUGAUAAAAGAGCCUCAGAGUCAGAUAAUUGUUUUAAAUUUUUAAGGACAAUGAAGUAACAUACUUGUUGAAAAAUCAAGUCAAAAACUAAUAAGCCCCUAGACCCAAGUGAUUUUUUUUGUUUUCCAAGGGUAAUUAAAUAAUCACAUUGUGCAAAGAAAAUGCAACAAUAUCGUUUAGCCCUUCCCUUUCAAAUAAAGAAAAAACUCGUUAAUUUAUUUUUUUGAUUUAAAUUAAUUUCCUUUUAAACUGUAUUUGAUUUUUAAAAAAAUAUUAAAUUAAUGUUGUUGUUAAUUUAAUUUUUUAAGUAUUUUUAAUGAUUUUAAAGUGUUUUUUUUAAUUAAAAAAAAUUAUUUUAAUACAUUUUCAAUUGAAAAAUAUUUUUGUAAAAGCAUUCUACACCACGUUACUAAACAUCCCAUAAUGGUAGUAUUGCGAUUUAAAAAAAUAGGUUUAACAAAAACAUUUUUAGUUGGGUUUUUUUAAAAAAUAUGUUUGGUUAAAAGUAUUAUAAGAUAAACUUUUGAACGUAAAAUUGAUAAAAAGCAAAUAAACAUGAAUAAAAAAUAAAUUAUUUUAUCUUCCAGCAAUUAUGUACGAGGUACAAUACAAAAAAUCAGAAGUUAAUUAGGAACACAUGGCUAACAGUCUUUAAGACUUGACAUCAUUUUAACAAUAUAAAAAAGAUAACAUUUUCAUAAAUUCAAUAUGAGAGCAAAAUUAAAGAAUUUAGAAGAAGAUUUGAAGAUUGAACUUUUAGAGCUCUAAUCAACCACAGUAACAGGCAUGUGGUUGUAAGAGGUCAAUUGAAUGGACAGCCAGAACAAGUAAUGUGUUGUCAAGAAAACACCAAGCGAUUAAUAAUUGAGCAAUUUCAAAAGGGCACUGUUUGAUUGCAGGAAAACUAUGUAAAUUUUGGGACCAUUAAUAUUCCACUUUUAGGGACCUCCAAGAAAAUAAAUCAUCAUAACUAAGAAAAAAAAAACUUCGUAAAAUGCAAAAUUUUCCUACUCAAUUAUCUCAGGAUUCAAGCACAAAUGUUCUUCUGCUUUAAUUGGUGAUUAAUUAUUUAUUCAACACAUAACAAUGUGUUUGGUAUCUGAGAAACUCCAGGGAAAGUGAACUAAACUGACAAAAAUCUUAAAUGGUGUUAAAUUAUUUCAGCUACUUUCCCUCAAUUUUUUAGGUAAACAAGAGGAGCUAAAUUUAUUCCCAACCUAAACAUCAAGAAUUCCAGUAGAACAAAAGAAGAGACUGUAUUUAAUAUAGGAAUGAAAUUAAUUUUUUCAAGAUCCUACAUAGAUCUCUCAAUAUUUUAUAUUGAUUCAAUAAUAUUAUUUUGAGUGAAAUACAACUCAAAACACCACAAGGAUCAAAUUAAUUUUUUCAAGACCCCACAUGAGUCUUUCAAUAUUUUAUUUUGAGUGAAAUACAACUCAAAAUAACACAAGAAUAAAAUUACUUUUCAACUUCUCCUCUCCACAAAAAACAAGACUUGUAAGUUAUAAAUACUCAAUGAAUCUUCAAAGUUCAAGGUUCAUAAUAUCUUCAUUCUUAAUAUUUUUAAUAUAUAUAUAUAUUUUUAGAGUUUAUCUCUCUAAAAUAUCAUUAUAUUUUCUCUCUCUAUAUAAUUUCUUUCUUAAACAUUUAAAAAUACCCACAUAUAUCAAAUUUGCAAGUAACAACUACUUAUCAUCUUAGCACACUAGACAUCAAUCUUUUUCACUUACUAGAUAUCACCUACCAAUCAAUUUAGCUAAAACAAUUUUAAAUUUCUAGAAUUAAAAGAUUAGCUAACGUCCAACAUUCUCUUAAUCUGAUCUUCAAGUGCCACAUGUCAAACAUUCGGGUGGAUGUCGUUCUAAGCGAGCCAAGGACGAAAGUAACUAAUGAGUUGAUUUUUUAAAGGCUGUAGACAAUGAAAACAUUGAUUGAGCUGCACGUCGUUUAGUAACUUGAAACUUGAAAGGGAUUUUUUUGUGUAUUUCCAAAAGUAAAUGAAAAUGAGGACUGUACCAUUCAAUCAACCAAUCAAUCAAUGUACAAAAAAAUGAAAGGGAAAAUGCAAUUUCGAACAAAAUAUUGAAAAGGAAAAUGCAAUUUGAAAAGUUCAAGGUUCAAUGCUUGACUUGACAGUCUGAAUGGGCCACCAAUUGACAACUUGCUUGUGGAUAAAUGUAAAAUUAGUACUAGAUUUGUUGAGGUUAUUUUUAUUUUGUCAUUUAUAGCACAAAUUUGGAAAGGUUUUAUUAUUAUUAUUAUUGUGAGUGUUUCCUCUUAAAACUUUUAUCCUAUGUUGUGAAAUUCAUAUCUUUUUUUAUAAACUCAGAUUUAAAAAUUAGGUUGUAUUUAGUUAGUAUUUUAGAACAAAAUAAAUAAACACAGGAGUGAUGAAAAUGUGUUAGAUGGUAAAGAUGAAAAUAGCUACAUAAAAUAAUUUUUUUUGGAAUAAUUUUUUUAAAACAAUUUUUAUAUUUUAAAAAUAAAAAAAUAUAUAAAGACAUGUCUUUUAUAUUUUCAUUAUCUUUAUAUUUUCAUUAUCUCAAAAUAAUAAUCAAAUAAUAUCUUAAUCAUGAAGUUUAAUACUCUCGCCCCUCCACAUGGAGAAUGAGGCUUGAACAUAUACUUAUUGGAGGCACGAGAAAUUCAUUCCUCAUUUUUUUUAUAUCAAGAUUUACAAAUCAUGAUUAAAAAAAUUGAAGAAAAAAUUGUUUUUUUUAUCAAGUUCCAUAUAUUUUUAUAGGGAGAAAUUCAUAUUAAUAUAUUUUAGAUAUAAGUCAAAUAAAUCUAAUUUUAUUAUGUAGGUGUGGGUGCUUUUUGUUUUUCAACUUUUAUCCUAUUUUAUGUUGUAAUAAUCAAAUGCUUUCAGAAAAUCAGAAAUUAAAUGAAAAAAAUUAGGUUAUUUAGGUUAUAUUUGGUUAAUAUUCAAGGGUGAUACCAAUAAUAUAUAUAUUUGAUGAAAGAAAACCCUUUCAACACUAAUACCUCUGCUAACUUUGGGAAAAACAUCAUUAGCAUGCCAGCAGCCACGCAUUAUCAAAGCCCCCUCCUCAUCAACACUGCUCCCAUAGUCCCAUAGCCUCUUGAUUAUUGUCAACUGCUGCAUCUAUAUUGCAUUUGAUAAAACCAGGAGGAGGUUUCUCCCAUUUAGGCAAACUAGGAUGGAUUGCUAUAUGUGCUGGUGUAAACCGAGAAGCAGACCACCUAGAGAAAAGUUCAGACCUGCUUGAACAGUUCUAUAGGACGAGAAGGAAUAAUUGUUCCUUACCUGUUCGUUUCUCCUAUUCCAAAUAGCCCAGAUUGUGACUGCAAAUUUUAACAACAAAUUCUCAUCAAGCAACAUUGCUUGUCAUCCGUGUUUGAAUGCCCAACUCUUUCCAGCAGCUCUGAGCAUAAGAACAAUGGACCAGUACAUGUUCAAGAGACUCCCCAACAGCUCCACAAUGAACACAACGAUUAUCAGAUUCCACCCCUUUUUGCAUCAGACGAGCCUUUGUGAAAUUACAAAAAAGAAUUUCUUUGAUCAAGUUUCAUGAACUACUCUACUCACACACAUAUAUUUUAUAACGAGAAUCUCAUUAGAUACAAGUCUGGUAAAUCUUAAACAAAUAAUUGUCGGUUUUACACAAGUAUUAUUGAAAUGGGACUUGAGAGCCCAGCAAUCUCACUCAUAAAUAAAGGAAAGGGAAUUCUUAUUAUUAUAAGAGGCCGUGAAGCUUUCAUUAUAAUCUCACAAAAUUCUUAUCCAAUUUCUCAAUCAAUAAAGCAUCGGGCAUAUGAGUUGUAUUAUUCCGUUGACUGAUAGCUUCUAAGAUAUAUCUCCACAAGGAUAAAGCCCUUGAAUAAUAUUUUAUGGAGUUCACCACUGUGCUAGCUUUGUCCCUUAGGAGGUUAAUCCCCAUGAGGCACUUGUUCCUCACUUUUUUGGGUAGAAGUUGCUUAUGAUGUUGUAUUUAGCAUGUUUUUUCAACAAUAGUCCAAAUUUAAUGGACUAAUUAAUUGUUGUGUGUGAUAAAAUUAAUCUAGUAAGUUUAGCUUUAGACAGCCUAAAUAAAUAGAAAGGUGAUUCCUUUAGCACAAAUUUGAAAAAGUUUUAUUGUUAUUAUUAUUAUUAUUGUGAAUGUUUCUUCUUAAAACUUUUAUCCUAUGUUGUGAUAUUUAUAUCUUUUUUAUAAACUUAAAUUUAAAAAUUAGGUUGUAUUUAAUUAGUUUUUAGAACAAAAUGAAUAAAUACUGGAGUGAUGAAAAUGUGUUAGAUGGUGAAGAUAAAAAUAGCUAUAUAAAAUAAUUUUUUUUGAAAUAAUUUUUUUUAAAGAAUUUUUAUAUUUUAAAAAUAGAAAAAUAUAUAAAGACAAGUCUUUUAUAUUUUCAUUAUCUUUAUAUUUUUUAUCUCAAAAUAAUAACCAAAUAAUAUCUUAAUCAUAAAGUUUAAUACUCUCGCCCCUCCACAUGGAGAAUGAGGCUUCAAAAUAUACUUAUUGGAGGCACGAGAAAUUCAAUCCUCAUUUUCUUUAUAUCAAGAUUUACAAAUCAUGAUUAAAAAAAUUGAAGAAGAAAUUGUUUUUUUAUCAGGUUCCAUAUAUUUUUAUAGGGAGAAAUUCACAUGUAUAUAAUCUUACAUGUCACUCAUUCACAUGUAUUUAUAUAUAUAUUCAUGUAGAAACCAUAUUAUUGUACGAUACGCACAAUAACAAGUUAACCACAUAAAGAAUCCGUAAUAGAAAUAGAACAUCAAAAUGAGGAGAAUGAGAAUCCACACAUUAAACAAUAAGCUCACAAAUGAGUAAACAUUAUGCCCUUGCUUUUGAAGGUUCAGACACUUGAAAAAGAAACACAAAUGGGCAAACAAACAAAAGCCCUUUUUUUGGAGGUUCGCACAAUAAAUAACUAAACACACAACAUUUCUGGAAGUUCACACAACAAACACAUGAAAUAAUUAAGACAAAUUGUUGUAGCUAAUGAAACAGCUGGAAUUACUUCCCACCAAUGUCGAGUUGAUCAUCACAUAGGUAACCAACCAACCUAAUGCAAACAUCAAGAACAAAGAUCAUCCAGGCAUCUCCUUCUCAGUAUUGGCAG